This 101-nucleotide microRNA precursor is filed under the name Saccoglossus kowalevskii. Its description in RNAcentral is "microRNA sko-mir-4818d precursor". The stretch from base 7 to 95 matches the Rfam family "mir-4818 microRNA precursor family". Lineage: Eukaryota; Metazoa; Hemichordata; Enteropneusta; Harrimaniidae. The record is from miRBase by way of RNAcentral.
GCAGCACUGUGUUGAGUGUAUCCUCUCUAUUGAGUACAACUGUGGAUAGAUCACAUCUCGCAUUGCACUCAAUAGUGGGGCUCCUUUCAGCACCUGAUAUC